CUGCUUUAUCAGGUCUCAGAGCACAAAUCAGAGCUCUGCUACAGAUCACAUGAUCAACCAGGAUGAAGGUCAACAGAGUGAACAUCCUUCUCCUCUCCACGGUGAUGCUUGUGUCUAUGAAUCAAUCAAAGGCCCUGAAGACAUUGAAAAUGGUACAGUAUGU
Molecule: long non-coding RNA, 163 nt
Organism: Mugil cephalus (flathead mullet)
Lineage: Eukaryota; Metazoa; Chordata; Actinopteri; Mugiliformes; Mugilidae
Exons: 3
Source: RefSeq, a predicted model, not a curated record